This 465-nucleotide ribosomal RNA is filed under the name uncultured bacterium. RNAcentral describes it as "partial 16S ribosomal RNA". It matches the Rfam family "Bacterial small subunit ribosomal RNA", at positions 28 to 507 of the family's 1533-position model. The record is from RNAcentral.
GACGAACGCUGGCGGCGUGCUUAACACAUGCAAGUCGAACGGAAAGGCCCUGCUUGCAGGGUACUCGAGUGGCGAACGGGUGUGUAACACGUGUGUGAUGUUCCCUGCACUUCGGGAUAAGCCUGGGAAACUGGGUCUAAUACCGUAUAUGAGCCAUUUUUAUUGUGAUGGUGGGAAAGUUUUUUCGGUGUAGGAUGAGCUCGCGGCCUAUCAGCUUGUUGGUGGGGUAAUGUCCUACCAAGGCGGCGACGGGUAGCCGGCCUGAGAGGGUGGACGGCCACAUUAGGACUGAGAUACAGCCCAGACUCCUACGGGAGGCAGCAGUGGGGAAUAUUGCACAAUGGGCGCAGGCCUGAUGCAGCGACGCCGCGUGGGGGAUGACGGCCUUCGGGUUGUAACCUCCUUUCGCUAGGGACGAAGCUUUUUGUGACGGUACCUAGAUAAGAAGCACCGGCUAACUACGUG